UGUGUGAAGAAGGCCUUCGGGUUGUAAGGCACUUUUGUCCGGAAAGAAAUCGCGCUGGUUAAUACCUGGCGUGGAUGACGGUACCGGAAGAAUAAGCACCGGCUAACUACGUGCCAGCAGCCGCGGUAAUAACGUAGGGUGCGAGCGUUAAUCGGAAUUACUGGGCGUAAAGCGUGCGCAGGCGGUUUUGUAAGACAGGCGUGAAAUCCCCGGGCUUAACCUGGGAAUUGCGCUUGUGACUGCAAGGCUAGAGUGCGUCAGAGGGGGG
RNAcentral lists this ribosomal RNA (268 nucleotides) under uncultured bacterium. RNAcentral describes it as "partial 16S ribosomal RNA". It matches the Rfam family "Bacterial small subunit ribosomal RNA", at positions 401 to 661 of the family's 1533-position model. The record is from RNAcentral.